This 1197-nucleotide long non-coding RNA is filed under the name Heterocephalus glaber (naked mole-rat). RNAcentral describes it as "lncRNA (ENSHGLG00000045704.1)". Lineage: Eukaryota; Metazoa; Chordata; Mammalia; Rodentia; Bathyergidae. The record is from RNAcentral.
UGAAGACAGGUCAGGGAUGACUUAGCAGAACUGGCGUGAGCAGUUGCCGUCCCUUGACAGGGAAGGUGGGCAGCCUGCUGGCUGCAGCACAGCACAUGUGUUCAUCCUCCAUAUUUGGCCGGCCUGGCAGUUGUUUCUGAAAUCCGACUCCUGGUGCCAUGGGGAUGACCUUUGCUCUACUUCCCAGCAUUCACCUGCAUUCACCCUGCUCCCGGGAAGCUCAGUAAGAGAGUGGACAGUGUGGGUAGACACGCUGGUCAUGAGUUAGCCAUGCUAAUUCAGCAUGCUUUAAUUAAUUUUACCGGCAUGGUUAGAGAGAUGCAGUGCAUUUAAGAGAGGACUUCAUCAGCUCAGAGUCCAAGAUCCAUGCAGCCACCUGGGGAAAAGAAGCACGGAGAUUCUCCCAGAAGCCCUGACGGUGGGGACUUGUCCAGCAGCACUCCAGACUGUUUAACUUCAUAGUCAACUGAAAAUGGGAAAGAUCAAGGCUUCCAAGGGGCUUAAUCUGAGGCCAAGUGGGGUGUGUGUUCCAGAGAGCAGGCUAUGUUGGCACUGGACCGUGAAACAGAGGAUUCAGACAGCAGUUCCUCAAGCCAAGGAGCCUGGUGGAUUAAUUCCAGAAGUCAACAAGACCACACGGUGGCAAUGGAACAUGGCCAGCACAGAUGUGGCUCAUUCAUCAGUGGUUCCUCAUUAUGGUCCACAGCCAGGCCCUGGUUUCCUGCCAUGGCUCCCUGCAGGAACUCUCUCCGCAAAGAAUCACCUCUCAUUGGCAUGCAAAUUGAGAAUAAAAGAAGUGCCUUCCAAGAACAAGCCUAAAGAAGCAACUUCCUGUUCACAAUUGAAAACAGGAUUGUCCUCAAUAAAUGUGUACAUGUCCACAGUGCAAGGCCCUGUGCCUAGUAACUCAGACACUAUUGAGAACAGGCGGCCUCCCUCCUCUCCAGGGAUUUGCGCUGAGUCUGUCCUGAAGUUGAGAUGUUUGUAGGAGAGAUGGGGCACAGCUCCUGAGUCAUGCCAGCCUUAGCAUUAACCAAAGAUAACAAUAGCAUUUAAUGUUCAUUCUGCAUCUGGGUGCCAGACAUCAUGACAAAUGUUAUAUGUGUACAAAGUAAAAUUUUGUCUUCUUUGAAGCGAUUCAAUUAUGCUUUGAGUCCUUACUCUGCCAGGCUGUUGGGGAUGCCCAUGGCAGCUGUC